RNAcentral lists this ribosomal RNA (301 nucleotides) under uncultured bacterium. RNAcentral describes it as "partial 16S ribosomal RNA". It matches the Rfam family "Bacterial small subunit ribosomal RNA", at positions 509 to 807 of the family's 1533-position model. The record is from RNAcentral.
CAGCCGCCGCGGGAAUACGUAGGGUGCGAGCGUUAAUCGGAAUUACUGGGCGUAAAGCGUGCGCAGGCGGUUAUAUAAGACAGAUGUGAAAUCCCCAGGCUCAACCUGGGAACUGCAUUUGUGACUGGCAAGCUAGAGUCUGGCAGAGGGGGGUGGAAUUCCGCGUGUAGCAGUGAAAUGCGUAGAUAUGCGGAGGAACACCGAUGGCGAAGGCAGCCCCCUGGGCCAACACUGACGCUCAUGCACGAAAGCGUGGGGAGCAAACAGGAUUAGAUACCCCUGUAGUCCCUGUCUCUUAUAC